Molecule: long non-coding RNA, 437 nt
Organism: Eucalyptus grandis
Lineage: Eukaryota; Viridiplantae; Streptophyta; Magnoliopsida; Myrtales; Myrtaceae
Exons: 3
Source: RefSeq, a predicted model, not a curated record
GGAGCGAAAGAAACAGGGGAGAAGAGAGAAAGAAGAGAAAGGAAAAAGGGAAAAAGGAGAAAAAUUUUGGCGCGCUCGUGACCCAGACGCCUCCUCAAGCCAACUCAAGUGUGUUUUGCAAGGCCGGAAUCCGAAUGCGUCGGUUCGUGUGAGCAUCGUAUUUGAUUUUUGGCUUUCUCCAGGUUCUUCAGCGAGUCGCGAGUAGGUGUGAGCGUUCGCUCGGGGAGGACUUUUGUUGUGGAACUUUUUGGUAUGGCUUAUGCAUAGUUCAUAAGUUUAUAAGUUAGUUUUUGUAUAAGGUUUAUGUUUUGAAUUUUUGUGGAUUAUAGAUAUACUCUGAUAUAGAUUUUGUAACCAAGUGCCCCUUUUUGUCAAAUAUAUAUAUGUGGAUGUAUAUAUGUUGAUAUCGGGUUGAAUUUUGGUUACGUUGAGGCUGC